UGACAGGUGGUGCAUGGUUGUCGUCAGCUCGUGUCGUGAGAUGUUGGGUUAAGUCCCGCAACGAGCGCAACCCUCGACCUUAGUUGCCAGCAUUCAGUUGGGCACUCUAAGGUGACUGCCGGCUAAAAGUCGGAGGAAGGUGGGGAUGACGUCAAAUCAUCAUGCCCCUUAUGACCUGGGCUACACACGUGCUACAAUGGGCGGUACAAAGGGUCGCGAACCCGCGAGGGGGAGCCAAUCCCAAAAAGCCGCUCUCAGUUCGGAUUGCAGGCUGCAACUCGCCUGCAUGAAGCCGGAAUCGCUAGUAAUCGCGGAUCAGCAUGCCGCGGUGAAUACGUUCCCGGGCCUU
RNAcentral lists this ribosomal RNA (349 nucleotides) under uncultured Anoxybacillus sp. Its description in RNAcentral is "bacterial SSU rRNA". It matches the Rfam family "Bacterial small subunit ribosomal RNA", at positions 1032 to 1382 of the family's 1533-position model. Lineage: Bacteria; Bacillati; Bacillota; Bacilli; Caryophanales; Anoxybacillaceae. The record is from RNAcentral.